UUCAGUAAACAGGAGAAAGCAGGCUGUGAAACAGUUUUCACCUCUCUCUGCCUCCUGACUGUAGGUACAGUGGGGCCAGCCACCUCACACUCCUGCUGUGUCUUCCUUACCAUCAAUGGGCUGUACUCUCAAACUGCAGGUUUUCAUGGUGCUGAACUGCAGGCAAAGCUUUCAUUGACUUCAGUGGAACUCCCCAGGGAUGCGCAGCAAGAAGCAGGUGUCCACGGGAGGCUGGGAGCAGCCAGGAAGAAAUCUCUCUAGGACAUUCUGUAGACCACUCUCCUGAUGGAGGAUGAAGGAGGGCUGAGUAAAUGAAUGGAAGAUGUGGGGCGUCUGCUAACCAAUCAUGACAGCUCAGGAGGGAACAAGAAUUCUGAUUCUCCAAGGACCUUAUACAGGGAACGACACCUACCAACAGGACUUAGCUGCACACCUUUGGGUCCAGGGGGACCUAUUGUGCCACUCUGGCUGUGUGAUCUAAGCCCAUUGUACACCCUCUCUGGAAAAUGGGAAUGCCAAUAGUGACUGUCUCCUGGUGUAAUUUGAAGAAUAAAUAAAUUAGAGAACGGGUUUAAG
This is a long non-coding RNA of Mus musculus (house mouse), 576 nucleotides long. RefSeq annotates it as predicted gene, 30519. The record is from RefSeq and is a predicted model, not a curated record. The transcript has 3 exons. Lineage: Eukaryota; Metazoa; Chordata; Mammalia; Rodentia; Muridae.